Leguminivora glycinivorella is the source of this 178-nucleotide long non-coding RNA. RefSeq lists it as uncharacterized. The record is from RefSeq and is a predicted model, not a curated record. The transcript is spliced from 2 exons. Lineage: Eukaryota; Metazoa; Arthropoda; Insecta; Lepidoptera; Tortricidae.
GCCUAUUAAGAUCUAUCAUUGUAUACCAUUGCUCUAUGACAAUGCCACUCAGAUACUAUUGGCUAUAAAUCUUAGUGGGAAUUGUCUCAGGAUGUAGGUUGUACCUAUUAUUGUGUAUUUCAAUAUCUUCUUAUCUGUAUGACCUUCCUAUGUCUGUUUUUUUCCCCAAUAAAGAAAA